CAGCAGCCACGGUAAUACGGAGGGAGCUAGCGUUGUUCGGAAUUACUGGGCGUAAAGCGCACGUAGGCGGCUUUGUAAGUUAGAGGUGAAAGCCUGGAGCUCAACUCCAGAAUUGCCUUUAAGACUGCAUCGCUUGAAUCCGGGAGAGGUGAGUGGAAUUCCGAGUGUAGAGGUGAAAUUCGUAGAUAUUCGGAAGAACACCAGUGGCGAAGGCGGCUCACUGGACCGGCAUUGACGCUGAGGUGCGAAAGCGUGGGGAGCAAACAGGAUUAGAUACCCGCGUAGUCCCUGUCUCUUAUAC
RNAcentral lists this ribosomal RNA (301 nucleotides) under uncultured bacterium. RNAcentral's name for it is "partial 16S ribosomal RNA". It matches the Rfam family "Bacterial small subunit ribosomal RNA", at positions 509 to 807 of the family's 1533-position model. The record is from RNAcentral.